Molecule: ribosomal RNA, 429 nt
Filed under: Acidobacteriota bacterium
Lineage: Bacteria; Pseudomonadati; Acidobacteriota
Description: Acidobacteria bacterium partial 16S ribosomal RNA
Rfam family: Bacterial small subunit ribosomal RNA
Source: RNAcentral
UGGGGAAUUUUGGACAAUGGGGGAAACCCUGAUCCAGCCAUCCCGCGUGUGCGAUGAAGGCCUUCGGGUUGUAAAGCACUUUUGGCAGGAAAGAAACGUCAUGGGUUAAUACCCCGUGAAACUGACGGUACCUGCAGAAUAAGCACCGGCUAACUACGUGCCAGCAGCCGCGGUAAUACGUAGGGUGCAAGCGUUAAUCGGAAUUACUGGGCGUAAAGCGUGCGCAGGCGGUUCGGAAAGAAAGAUGUGAAAUCCCAGAGCUCAACUUUGGAACUGCAUUUUUAACUACCGGGCUUGAGUGUGUCAGAGGGAGGUGGAAUUCCGCGUGUAGCAGUGAAAUGCGUAGAUAUGCGGAGGAACACCGAUGGCGAAGGCAGCCUCCUGAGAUAACACUGACGCUCAUGCACGAAAGCGUGGGGAGCAAACAGG